Gopherus flavomarginatus (Mexican gopher tortoise) is the source of this 402-nucleotide long non-coding RNA. RefSeq lists it as uncharacterized. The record is from RefSeq and is a predicted model, not a curated record. NCBI's taxonomy places the organism in Eukaryota, Metazoa, Chordata, Testudines, Testudinidae. The transcript has 3 exons.
ACCAGGCUUGGAGACCCACUACUCCCCCGUGUACCCAGAGAACACCUCAGCCUUGCCAGUUCCUUCUCAGCACAAAACAGCCAAUGUUUCCAGUACUCACUGAUUGAUCUUUAGGAGUCCAUGGCCAUCAAAGAAACCAGAUCCACCUCUCCUGGUUACCAAGAGUAGGAGCAGUUCCCCAGGAGAGGUUUUGGGGGAGAGCACCUUGUGCCCCUUCUGCAGCUCACCACUUGCAAGGUGAAAGGGACAUUUUUGCCUUGUGGAGUCUACUGGUGGAUAAUACUAAUCCUUGAAGAGCCAAAGAAAUUUGACUUUACAUAGGCACCCUCAGGAAUUGUGAAUUGCUUUUUGGCUCCAGAGGCUGCUCUCCGGGAAGGUGUCAGGGUGUAAGUGUGUGAUCUG